GAACUUUGCAGCGAGGCCAUCAACGCUGA
RNAcentral lists this small RNA (29 nucleotides) under Bombyx mori (domestic silkworm). Its description in RNAcentral is "ovarian small RNA-15202". The record is from RNAcentral. Lineage: Eukaryota; Metazoa; Arthropoda; Insecta; Lepidoptera; Bombycidae.